AGGUCUUGACAUCCCCGUGAACAACCCAAGAGAUUGGCGUCCCUUCGGGGGACAGGGUGACAGGUGGUGCAUGGUUGUCGUCAGCUCGUGUCGUGAGAUGUUGGGUUAAGUCCCGCAACGAGCGCAACCCUCGCCUCUAGUUGCUAACAGGUUAAGCUGAGCACUCUAAUGGGACUGCCGGUGACAAGCCGGAGGAAGGUGGGGAUGACGUCAAAUCAUCAUGCCCUUUAUGACCUGGGCUACACACGUGCUACAAUGGAUGGUACAGAGAGCAGCGAGGCAGCGAUGUGGAGCGAAUCUCAAAAAGCCAUUCUCAGUUCGGAUUGGAGUCUGCAACUCGACUCCAUGAAGUCGGAAUCGCUAGUAAUCGCGAAUCAGCAUGUCGCGGUGAAUACGUUCCCGGGUCUU
RNAcentral lists this ribosomal RNA (408 nucleotides) under uncultured Syntrophomonas sp. RNAcentral describes it as "bacterial SSU rRNA". It matches the Rfam family "Bacterial small subunit ribosomal RNA", at positions 976 to 1382 of the family's 1533-position model. The record is from RNAcentral. Lineage: Bacteria; Bacillati; Bacillota; Clostridia; Eubacteriales; Syntrophomonadaceae.